RNA transcript from Canis lupus familiaris (dog), 6835 nucleotides. It is a transcript of the gene named protein tyrosine phosphatase non-receptor type 3, with no coding region annotated. The record is from RefSeq and is a predicted model, not a curated record. The transcript has 27 exons. Lineage: Eukaryota; Metazoa; Chordata; Mammalia; Carnivora; Canidae.
CUUUCUAAGUCAUUCUCGAAGCGCCACUCGCAGCGUUAGGGCAUUCCACGCUCCCUUCGUCCCGGGGCACCAUGGUCGAGCAAGAGGGAUUAUCGUCCUGCGGGCAUCCUUCUCCGGAAAACCGUUAUUCAGCGAUAGUUAUGACCUCCCGGUUACGUGCGUUGGGUGGAAGAAUUAAUAGUAUACGCACCUCAGAACUACCCAAAGAGAAAACUCGGUCCGAAAUCGUCUGCAGCAUCCGCUUCCUAGAUGGCUUGGUACAGACCUUCAAAGCUAAUAAACAAGACACCGGUCAAGUUCUUCUGGAUAUGGCAUACAACCACUUGGGUGUGACUGAAAAGGAGUAUUUUGGUUUGCAGCAUGGCGAUGACUCAGUCGACUCUCUGAGAUGGCUGGAAUCAAGCAAACCCAUCAGGAAGCAGUUAAAAGGAGGUUUCCCCUGUACUCUGCAUUUUCGAGUAAGAUUUUUUAUACCUGAUCCCAACACACUGCAGCAAGAACAAACCAGGCAUUUGUAUUUCUUACAACUGAAGAUGGAUAUUUGUGAAGGAAGGUUAACCUGCCCCCUUAACUCGGCAGUGGUUCUAGCAUCCUAUGCAGUACAAUCUCAUUUUGGAGACUAUAAUUCUUCCAUUCAUCAUCCGGGCUAUCUUUCUGAUAGUCAGUUUAUACCAGACCAGAACGAUGACUUUUUAACGAAGGUGGAAUCGCUCCAUGAGCAGCACAGUGGGCUAAAGCAAUCAGAAGCCGAAUCUUGCUUCAUCAACAUAGCACGGACCCUCGACUUCUAUGGAGUGGAGCUGCACGGCGGUAGGGAUCUGCACAAUUUAGAGCUAAUGAUUGGGAUUGCUUCUGCGGGCAUCGCCGUGUACCGAAAAUAUAUUUGCACAAGUUUCUAUCCUUGGGUGAACAUUCUAAAAAUUUCUUUCAAAAGGAAAAAGUUCUUUAUACAUCAGCGACAAAAACAGACUGAAUCCAGGGAACAUAUCGUGGCCUUCAACAUGUUAAAUUACCGAUCUUGCAAAAACUUGUGGAAAUCCUGUGUCGAGCAUCAUACAUUCUUUCAGGCAAAGAAGCUACUACCUCAAGAAAAGAAUGUCCUGUCUCAGUACUGGACUAUGGGCUCUAGGAACCUGAAAAAGUCUGUAAAUAACCAGUAUUGUAAAAAGGUGAUUGGAGGGAUGGUGUGGAACCCAGCCAUGCGGAGAUCAUUAUCAGUGGAGCACUUAGAAACCAAGAGCCUGCCUUCUCGAUCCCCUCCCAUCACUCCCAACUGGCGAAGUCCUCGGCUCCGGCACGAAAUCCGAAAGCCACGGCACUCUUCUGCAGAUAACCUUGCGAACGAGAUGACCUACAUUACCGAAACCGAAGAUGUGUUUUACACGUACAAGGGCUCCCUGUCCCCAAAAGACAGCGAAUCCGAGGUUUCUCAGAACCGAAGCCCGCACCGAGAGAGUAUAUCCGAGAACAAUCCAGCACAAAGCUGCCUGACCCAGAAGUCAUCCAGUUCUGUGUCUCCAUCUUCAAAUGCUCCAGGCUCCUGCUCACCAGAGGGCGUCGAUCAGCAGUUCUUAGAGGACUUCCACAGGGUGACCAAAGGGGGCUCCACCGAGGACUCCAGCCAGUACUACUGUGACAAGAAUGAUAAUGGUGACGGCUACCUAGUUUUGAUCCGCAUCACACCAGAUGAAGAUGGAAAAUUUGGAUUUAAUCUGAAGGGAGGAGUGGAUCAAAAGAUGCCUCUUGUGGUAUCAAGGAUAAACCCAGAGUCACCUGCGGACACCUGCAUUCCUAAGCUGAACGAAGGGGAUCAAAUCGUCUUAAUCAAUGGCCGGGACAUCUCAGAGCACACCCAUGACCAGGUGGUGAUGUUCAUCAAAGCCAGCCGGGAGUCCCACACGCGGGAGCUGGCCCUGGUGAUCCGGAGGAAAGCUGUCCACUCAUUCACUGACAUCAAAUCCGACGAUGAGCUGAACCAGCUUUUCCCAGAGGCCAUUUUCCCCAUUUGCCCAGAGGGUGGGGAUACCUUGGAGGGAUCCAUGGACCAGCUAAAGAAGGGCCUUGAAAGCGGGACGGUGCUGAUCCAGUUUGAGCAACUCUAUAGAAAGAAGCCCGGUCUGGCCAUCACGUUUGCAAAGCUGCCUCAAAAUUUGGACAAAAACCGCUAUAAAGAUGUGCUGCCUUAUGACACCACCCGGGUCUUGUUGCAGGGAAAUGAGGAUUAUAUUAAUGCGAGUUCUGUGAACAUGGAAAUUCCUGCUGCUAACCUUGUGAACAAGUACAUUGCUGCUCAGGGUCCCCUGCCACACACCUGUGCACAAUUUUGGCAAGUCGUCUGGGAUCAGAAGUUGUCACUCAUUGUCAUGUUGACGACUCUCACAGAGCGAGGACGGACCAAAUGUCACCAGUACUGGCCCGAUCCUCCCGAUGUCAUGGAACAUGGCAACUUUCACAUCCGAUGUCAGUCAGAGGACUGCACCCUCGCUUACGUGUUCCGAGAAAUGCUGGUCACCAACACUGAGACCGGGGAGGAGCACACGGUCACGCAUCUCCAGUACGUCGCGUGGCCCGACCACGGCGUUCCUGAUGACUCCUCGGACUUUCUGGAGUUCGUAAACUAUGUGAGGUCCCUGAGAGCGGAUGGCGAACCCAUGUUAGUUCACUGCAGUGCUGGAAUAGGUCGGACCGGUGUGCUGGUCACCAUGGAAACAGCCAUGUGCCUAAUUGAGAGAAACCUGCCUGUUUACCCACUGGAUAUUGUCCGGAAGAUGCGAGACCAGCGCGCCAUGAUGGUGCAGACAUCACCUCAACUUCCGCAUCUGCAAAAUGGGGACCAGCCCACAUUCGUCUAGAGGAUUGCACACGUUGGAAAGACCCGGGCUUGUAUGUGGUGGGAAAACUGGAUUAGUCCGUUAUAAAUGUCAACGGUAAUGGAGGAAGUCCAGGGGGGAGUCUGAGAACUCAAUGGAGAGCAGCGAAAGCCGACUUUGGAAAGUCAAGGAAGGCUUUCUGGAGGAGUGACUCCAGAUGAAGGAGGUGGAGUCAGCAAAGAAAGGAGCGGAAAUUCCACGUUACAGCCAGCUCUGUGUCCGCACAAGCUCAUGGACAGAGCGUAGCCAGUACAAGUUUGUAUGUGAAGCGAUUCUUCGUGUUUAUGAAGAGGGCUUAGUCCAAAUGCUGGAUCCCAGUUAAGACAACUGUGAAAAACGUUCAUUCCUCUUUCCCAAGGGCAUCCUCCUUAAGGACAGACCUUCUCUCUGGAAGCAGCAAGAGGGAUUUGUAGGCUGUGGGGGAGGAAUGAGCACAUUUGAAGCCGGGCACUUUAAAGUUCUGUAGAAGAGGUAUCGUGUACAUAGGAACUGUGUAGAUACGCAUGCAGUUACAGCAACAUUUAGGCCUGUUAUUCCUCAGAAAUAAGCAAAAGGGGAUCUCAGUUUGGGGCCUGUCCUAUUUGCCUUCCUCCCUAGACAUUACUAUGUUCCUGUAAACCAUCCUUGGGCAGUUGAGAGGGGAUGCCAGCGAUGCUGCUGACCUUCCAGAAACAAGAGGGUGCGGCGCUUCGGAGUUGCUUGGAUGUUUUGUGUGUAUAUGUGUAUAGGACUCUAAGGGCUGAGCUUUCUGGGCUUCAGGGCGGAGCUGGAAGCAUUGGCGUUCACCUGCCGAUGCUAAGGGCACCCUGCUGGAUGUACUAAGUGGCAGGGUGGGGGGAAUUCAGGCUGCAGGGCGGGCAGUACCCUUUCUGCCCUGCGUUCCUCUAUCCCCACUCCCUCCCACUUCCCAUACUGGUGUUUCUGAGAAUCCUGUCUGAAACGCCCCGCUUGCUCCCUGCAUCAGCGACCCUCUUCGGGGGCUCACACAGGGCCUGGACCGGAUUAGUAACGUAGGUUCGGGCGAGUUUUCAGUUGAGACUCAGAACGAAGACUCCCAGUGCGUCUUGUCAUCCGUCGCUAGUUUUAGGAGUGGGUGCUUCUCGCCUCCGCCUGCCUCUUGCUGCACCUGCAGAACCCAAGACUGGAAUUAUCGACUACUGAAUCUACUACAUGGAUUGCUGCUACUUCAAGCUAUUAAACUUGAAACAUUACGAUUUUCCUGAGGGGAGAUGGGAUAUCAUCUAACUAUUCAGAAUCUUUGGCCCUUCUGAGGAAAGAUCUAGUCAUGGAACCAUGGGAACCCCAGCUUCUAGAGGGUUGUCCGUGGAUGUGUGUGGAUGUGUGUGUGUGCGCCCAUGGUAAGUGUUUCUCAGGAUUCCUAACUUGAUUCAAAUUACAGUUGAGUUUCUAUAAAGAAUGAGUCUCUGUAUAGAAGAACAAAUGUGUGCAUUCACCCUCGGUUAGAAUGGUCUCCAUUUCAUUUCAAAGGAGAGGAUCAGGCUAUCUGAAUAUAAACACAAUUUGAUGUUAAUUUAUUCUAAGUGCACCCUAAUUUUGAUUUUCCUAAAGAAUUCUGCCUUUGUUCAUACUGUGUUAAAUUUUUUAAAAAUUUGUGACAGGAUUGUAGCAAAUUAUUAUUUAAGGAAAAUAAAUUACAUAAAAAUUUUAACGUGGUAUUUUUAAAUAGCGGCUUUUAUGUGUCCCGAAGGAAGAGGAAGCUAAGCCAGUUUCUCAAUGGGACUUAUAGAAAAAGGAUGCUUUUAUAUCAUAGUGCACAGAAGUGAAGCCAUUUUGAUGCCUUGCAAACUCUGGACCAAUCGAGUAGUUUCCUGGUUGCAGGCUGGAUAAAGACCUAGAUGAUGGGAGCCGGGUUUCUAAAGGUUCUUUAUCUCCAGACUUAGCACAUUUAGUUGCAUACUUCCCAUCUUUUGCCCACUAAUAUUUUACUGCUCACCGGCAGUGGUGGGAGGGAAGUGUUACGCAGUGCCAUAGCGCUACCGUGACCGGGGACCCUGAAGCCCCAUCGUUGUCCAAUUCGUGCUAAGCUAGCAGAAUGAGCCGGGAAAGCUUGGAAUUAACGCAGUUGGAGAUCUGGUUCCUGGUCCCACUCAUCGAUUAACUGUCUCCUGGCCUGGUCACUUGAGAGCAUGACCUCCCUUUCAUCUAUUUCCUGUAAAACAGGAGAAAUAAUACUGAGGCUAUGGGCUGAAUAUGAGGACUGAAUAAAAUGCUCUCAGCGGGAGUUGUCAUCAGCGGGUAGCGAUCUGACACUGCCACAGGUGCGUUACUUGGAAAAGUUAAUUUACCAGCCAUUAGCCCAGAAACCCAUGAAAUAGAAGUAUGAUCAUAUGGCUCUUUCCACAAAAGAAAAUUUCUUUUGCCGAGAACAGAAGCACAAAGGAAUAUCCUCGUACCAGUGCCUUUCUUCAAUCUGGACUCAAAACAUUCUAUCAGUUAUGUCCCAAAAAAAGAGGGGAAGGUGGAAAGCUGACCUAAAUUUAAAUGUCAUCAGGAUGCCUAGCAAAUCACUGCUAUUUCAUAAAAAUGCAUCCUUACCCUGUGUACAAGAAGCUUAAGAAGUCUAAAUGUGUUUGGAGUGUUGUUUUUUUUUCCUUAAAAAAGCAAAUUAUUCAAUAUAGUUGCGGAAAUGCUGUCAUUAUCGUACAUAAAUUUCUAAAAAGCUGGCCACGAGCCUUUUUCUGCCAUCAUGCAGGCCAGUAGUUCAGACCCAGCAGGGAACACAAUUCAUGAAAUGCAGAGGAAGAACAGGACAAGAGAAUUAUCUAAAGGGGCGAAAUACACAAAUAAGUUAUUACUACAGAUACAGCCGAUUAAAUUCUGUGCCUCAACAUUCGUGCUUCAAUACCUUGUACAUGUAGGCAAUUACACUUAAGCCUUUUUUUAGUCGUAAGUGAAAAGCAUCAAGACCACAGGGAAUACUUUGCCUGGGAAAUUUGGCGGGGAGUGAAUAGAGAGGACAUUUUACAUCUGUGUUUUGUUCUCUGGAAAAUCUGCUGGGACCCAUUGAUGUGCUGACUUAAGAUGGGACACUCCUCCCUGUGUCACUAUAGUACCUGCACUUGGUGUUUUGACUUUAUAAGAAAGAAAGCUUGAACACAAUUUGGGUGGGGCAGGAUGGGGAGGGUUCUAUCACGGACAUGCUGGUCUGUAAUUCCUACCAUCGUAAUUUAUACUUUAAAAUGUGUUUUAAUUAAGUUUUUUUUUUGUUUUAAUUCCAGAUAGUUAACAUUAAAAAUGCUUUUAGGUUAGUUGCCAUUGCUCCUGUGUUGCUACCUGAUAUUUUGUUGUUGUUCCUCAGAAAUGAUCAUUUGAGUGGGAAACAACAGGCUGCUUCAUCCUUCAAAGGCAAACAGAGAGGCAGGAUCAAUAGGAAAGGCUCAGAGGAGCUCAGAUGAAGCUCACUGGGGUCUAGACCUAGAUUUGGUGAGAUGUGUCGCCCUCAGGCCUCCAUUUCCUUAUGUGUAAAAAAGGAAGAGGUUGGGCUGGACUAAAUGAGUUCUUUGAAUGUUUAUCAUUCUGGGAGUCAUUGUUCCAGAGAAUUGAAGUUAGCCCCCAAAUCAAAGCCAUAUAGCUAUUAGAGAGGUAUCCCACUUCCAUGACCUGUCUCCAAGAGAUUGUCCCUCCAACCUUAGCAGGGUUGAAUGCCGAGAAUGACCAGGAUUGCCACCAUCUGGUUCUCGCCAUUCUACACUGAGAUUGGAAUCCGCAAAGACCCUGACCUCAGCCUAACUCUGAGGAGCCAAACACGUGAGAGUCCAAUGGCUGACUGUCCACCAUCUUUAUAACCCAUUCUGUUUGGAGCAACGGAAAGAUUGGUAUUAUGUAGUUUUGAAAAGUAUCUUAACGAGCAAUAUUUUUUUUUCUGUAAAUCGAGGAUGUUUUGCGCUCUGUCAGUGACUACUGGAAAAGUUUAAUCAAUAUAAAGACAUUCAAGCUAUGCAACA